Molecule: ribosomal RNA, 852 nt
Filed under: Nothophellinus andinopatagonicus
Lineage: Eukaryota; Fungi; Basidiomycota; Agaricomycetes; Hymenochaetales; Hymenochaetaceae
Description: LSU rRNA
Rfam family: Eukaryotic large subunit ribosomal RNA
Source: RNAcentral
ACUGCGAGUGAAGCGGGAAGAGCUCAAAUUUAAAAUCUGGCGGUCUUCUGGCUGUCCGAGUUGUAAUCUGGAGAAGCGUUUUCCGCGUUGGACCGUGCACAAGUCCCUUGGAACAGGGCGUCAUAGAGGGUGAGAAUCCCGUCCAUGGCACGGACAACCAAUGCUUUGUGAUACGCUCUCGAAGAGUCGAGUUGUUUGGGAAUGCAGCUCAAAAUGGGUGGUAAAUUCCAUCUAAAGCUAAAUAUUGGCGAGAGACCGAUAGCGAACAAGUACCGUGAGGGAAAGAUGAAAAGCACUUUGGAAAGAGAGUUAAACAGUACGUGAAAUUGUUGAAAGGGAAACGCUUGAAGUCAGUCGCAUCUUACGGGACUCAGCCUUGCCUUCGGGCUUGGUGUAUUUCCUGUGGGAUGGGUCAACAUCAAUUUUGACCGGUAGAAAAGGGUGGGGGGAAUGUGGCGCCUUUCGGGGCGUGUUAUAGCCCCCUAUCGCAUGUACCGGUUGGGAUUGAGGACCGCAGCGCGCCUUUUUGGCCGGGGGUUCGCCCCACGUACCGCGCUUAGGAUGUUGGCAUAAUGGCUUUAAGCGACCCGUCUUGAAACACGGACCAAGGAGUCUAACAUGCUUGCGAGUGUUCGGGUGGAAAACCCUUGCGCGUAAUGAAAGUAAAAGUUGGGAACCUCCGCAAGGGGGUGCACCGACGCCCGGCCCAGACGUUCUCUGACGGUGCUGCGGUAGAGCAAGUACGUUGGGACCCGAAAGAUGGUGAACUAUGCCUGAAUAGGGCGAAGCCAGAGGAAACUCUGGUGGAGGCUCGUAGCGAUUCUGACGUGCAAAUCGAUCGUCAAAUUUGGG